CCACCUACGGGGGGCAGCAGUGAGGAAUAUUGGUCAAUGGGCGGGAGCCUGAACCAGCCAAGUCGCGUGAGGGAAGACGGUCCUAUGGAUUGUAAACCUCUUUUGUCGGGGAGCAAAGAGACCACGUGUGGUCAAAAGCGAGAGUACCCGAAGAAAAAGCAUCGGCUAACUCCGUGCCAGCAGCCGCGGUAAUACGGAGGAUGCGAGCGUUAUCCGGAUUUAUUGGGUUUAAAGGGUGCGUAGGCGGGCUGUUAAGUCAGCGGUCAAAUGUCGGGGCUCAACCCCGGCCUGCCGUUGAAACUGGG
RNAcentral lists this ribosomal RNA (305 nucleotides) under uncultured bacterium. RNAcentral describes it as "bacterial SSU rRNA". It matches the Rfam family "Bacterial small subunit ribosomal RNA", at positions 335 to 637 of the family's 1533-position model. The record is from RNAcentral.